This 690-nucleotide long non-coding RNA is filed under the name Homo sapiens (human). RNAcentral describes it as "non-protein coding lnc-ZNF155-1:3". Lineage: Eukaryota; Metazoa; Chordata; Mammalia; Primates; Hominidae. The record is from RNAcentral.
UUAAAGACCAAGAAAAGAGUCCACAGUGGAGAUAAUCCAUACAAAUGUGAGGAGCAUGGGAUGUACUACAACAGGCACUUGACUUGAUAUGCAUCAGAGGGUCCAUAUGGCAGAGAAACCGUGGAAGUUUGGGGAGAUUGCCAUGUGCUUCAGUUAUGCCUCAAAGUCUUCAACUUCAUUGGACUGUUCACUUUCAAGGGAAACCUUAGUAAGGUGAUAUCUGUGAUAGUCUUCUCAACUACAAGCUCAUCUGAGAGUUCACAAUGGGAGAAGCAUUAAAAAUUUGAUACAUGUGAUGGAGCUCCCAGGGGAGUGGCGACCACUGUCUCUAUGGUUCGGUUGACAAAGCUGUUCCAGCCUGCUGGCUUUGGAGAGUCUGGGCAAUCUGGGUGAGGAAGGGUCCUCCCCCACCGCAGCACACCUGCUGUACCAAAAGCAGUUGGACUGCUUCUGUAAGUAGGUCCCUGAUCCUGUUCCUCCUGACUCAGUGAGACCUCCCAACAGGAGUCUCUAGACACCUCCUACAGGAGUCUUCAGGCCAGAAACUGGUCAGUAUCCCCCUGGGACAGAGUUUCCAAAAGAAGGAGAAGGCUGCCAUCUUUGCUGUUUUGCAGCUUUCACUGGUGACACCUCCAGGUACGGGAAAAACGGAGGCAACUAGGGUCUCGAGCAGACCCCAGCAAACUGUGG